Molecule: long non-coding RNA, 857 nt
Filed under: Arabidopsis lyrata
Lineage: Eukaryota; Viridiplantae; Streptophyta; Magnoliopsida; Brassicales; Brassicaceae
Description: long non-coding RNA (ALYR_LNC000010)
Source: RNAcentral
AACAGACCACGAGAGAAAACCUACUUAUUAAUCUAAACUAGAGGCGGUGGAAGGAGACACACUUAGAAGAUUCAACGAACAAAGAACAAAGAAGAGAUAAUGCGAAAGCUAUCCACAACUAGCCAACACGACCAAUCCCCGGAGCUUUCUAGAUAUAACAAAGAGCAAAACCAUGACCCAGCAAUUCCAAAGACUAAACCAACAACUACCAGAAGCUAACACAAACAAACAGCUAAAACCAUCCGAUAAGAGAAAGGCAAUAUGAGUUUCAACCCGACAAGGAACAGAAACGAAAAGUCUCUGUCACCUCGCAACCACCGGCGGCGGCCAACAACAGACAAAGCCACAACCUAACAUCCGCAAGAGACCACCACACCAACUCUUAAAGCAGAUCCAUCCGCCACCACUUCCAGAAACGAGAAACAUGCCUCUCCAAAAACACCACCUCGAUAAGCACCGGUAGCUCCUCCACAAAACAGAUUUUGUUCUCGAGAAAAUCAGAUAUGAGAAGAGACUAAAAUCGAAGGCCAUGUCGUGACGAGGAGAGGAACCGCCAAUUCAUAGCACCACUCAACCCAACCUUAAGCCAGAAGCUUCAUCAAAAAUGAACCACCGCAACCUAGAAACCCAUCUCGCCUUCUCGGAUCUUCAAUCACAGCCUCACCAAACAUAAAACGAGAAACAAAAGCAAAACUAUAACAGGGGCGAGGAGGCCGGAUCCGGUGCUAGGAGAGCCACCGCAAUCCAGCCUCAGAUUCUAGAACUUUUUUUUUUUUUCCACUGGCGGCUGUCUCGAGAGAGAAACGAAGACUAGGGUUUUUUGAGAUUGUUUCAACGUCCAUAUAGGUUUUUUUUUU